Dasypus novemcinctus (nine-banded armadillo) is the source of this 155-nucleotide small nuclear RNA. Its record names the gene U1. It matches the Rfam family "U1 spliceosomal RNA". From Rfam's summary of the family: U1 is a small nuclear RNA (snRNA) component of the spliceosome (involved in pre-mRNA splicing). Its 5' end forms complementary base pairs with the 5' splice junction, thus defining the 5' donor site of an intron. There are significant differences in sequence and secondary structure between metazoan and yeast U1 snRNAs, the latter being much longer (568 nucleotides as compared to 164 nucleotides in human). The record is from Ensembl. Lineage: Eukaryota; Metazoa; Chordata; Mammalia; Cingulata; Dasypodidae.
AUACUUACCUAGCAGGAGAGAUACAAAGAUCAUGAAGGUGGUUUUUCCCAGGGUGAGGUCUACCCAUUGUACUCUGGAUGUGCGAUUUCUCUGAAUAUGGGAAAAUCUCCUGCCUAAUUUGUGGUAGUGGGUAACUGCAUUUGUGUUCUCCCAAU